Molecule: ribosomal RNA, 484 nt
Filed under: uncultured bacterium
Lineage: Bacteria
Description: partial 16S ribosomal RNA
Rfam family: Bacterial small subunit ribosomal RNA
Source: RNAcentral
AUUGAACGCUGGCGGAAUGCUUUACACAUGCAAGUCGAACGGCAGCACGGGGGCAGCCCUGGUGGCGAGUGGCGAACGGGUGAGUAAUACAUCGGAACAUGCCCGGUCGUGGGGGAUAACGUAGCGAAAGUUACGCUAAUACCGCAUACGAUCUGAGGAUGAAAGCGGGGGACCUUCGGGCCUCGCGCGAUCGGAGCGGCCGAUGUCAGAUUAGGUAGUUGGUGGGGUAAAGGCCUACCAAGCCGACGAUCUGUAGCUGGUCUGAGAAGACGACCAGCCACACUGGGACUGAGACACGGCCCAGACUCCUACGGGAGGCAGCAGUGGGGAAUUUUGGACAAAGGGCGCAAGCCUGAUCCAGCCAUUCCGCGUGCAGGACGAAGGCCUUCGGGUUGUAAACUGCUUUUGUACGGAACGAAAAGGCUCUGGCUAAUACCUGGGGCUCAUGACGGUACCGUAAGAAUAAGCACCGGCUAACUACGUG